UACGAAGGGUGCAAACGUUGCUCGGAAUUAUUGGGCGUAAAGCGCACGUAGGCGGCUUGGCAAGUCGGAUGUGAAAUCCCUCGGCUCAACCAAGGAAGUGCAUCCGAAACUGCUGAGCUUGAGUACUUAAGAGGAUCGCGGAAUUCCAGGUGUAGCGGUGAAAUGCGUAGAUAUCUGGAGGAACACCGGUGGCGAAGGCGGCGUCCUGGACCAACACUGACACUGAGGAGCGAAAGCCAGGGGAGCAAACGGG
This 253-nucleotide ribosomal RNA is filed under the name uncultured bacterium. Its description in RNAcentral is "partial 16S ribosomal RNA". It matches the Rfam family "Bacterial small subunit ribosomal RNA", at positions 524 to 776 of the family's 1533-position model. The record is from RNAcentral.